AUUGAACGCUGGCGGCAGGCUUAACACAUGCAAGUCGAGCGGGGAAAAGUAGCUUGCUACUUAACUUAGCGGCGGACGGGUGAGUAAUACUUAGGAAUCUGCCUAUUAGUGGGGGACAACAUUUCGAAAGGAAUGCUAAUACCGCAUACGUCCUACGGGAGAAAGCAGGGGAUCACUUGUGACCUUGCGCUAAUAGAUGAGCCUAAGUCGGAUUAGCUAGUUGGUGGGGUAAAGGCCUACCAAGGCGACGAUCUGUAGCGGGUCUGAGAGGAUGAUCCGCCACACUGGGACUGAGACACGGCCCAGACUCCUACGGGAGGCAGCAGUGGGGAAUAUUGGACAAUGGGGGGAACCCUGAUCCAGCCAUGCCGCGUGUGUGAAGAAGGCCUUUUGGUUGUAAAGCACUUUAAGCGAGGAGGAGGCUACUCUAGUUAAUACUUAGGGAUAGUGGACGUUACUCGCAGAAUAAGCACCGGCUAACUCUGUGCCAGCAGCCGCGGUAAUACAGAGGGUGCGAGCGUUAAUCGGAUUUACUGGGCGUAAAGCGUGCGUAGGUGGCCAAUUAAGUCAAAUGUGAAAUCCCCGAGCUUAACUUGGGAAUUGCAUUCGAUACUGGUUGGCUAGAG
RNAcentral lists this ribosomal RNA (626 nucleotides) under uncultured bacterium. RNAcentral describes it as "bacterial SSU rRNA". It matches the Rfam family "Bacterial small subunit ribosomal RNA", at positions 28 to 646 of the family's 1533-position model. The record is from RNAcentral.